GAGUUAAGCAGUGAGUGGCCGAGUGAGGAACACGCUAACGUGGGAGGAACGAGAAAGGGCUGUUUCAGACACUCACGGCGUGGCAGCAGAUCCAUUCCAAUAUCCCGCUACCACAUCAGCCACUGGACAUUAAAUGUGAGGAGAGGGGACUGCAUGUAGACAGUUGGCUGAAGGAGGCCUUCACUGCAAACUCUUCAGAACUGAAGCUCAUCUUGACAGAUCACCAUGGCUCUAUGCCACCAGGAGCCUGUUACCUUCAGAUCAUACUGCCCAGGAAGCGCUGGCCAUAUGCUCAUACCAUUUGGUGAAAACAAAACAAAAAAUGCAGAACUAACAACAUAAGCAUUGUGCUUUUAAAAGUCCUGUUCAAUAUAUCUACACUGAACAUGUAAAAUGCA
Molecule: long non-coding RNA, 398 nt
Organism: Peromyscus eremicus (cactus mouse)
Lineage: Eukaryota; Metazoa; Chordata; Mammalia; Rodentia; Cricetidae
Exons: 2
Source: RefSeq, a predicted model, not a curated record